RNAcentral lists this ribosomal RNA (237 nucleotides) under uncultured bacterium. Its description in RNAcentral is "partial 16S ribosomal RNA". It matches the Rfam family "Bacterial small subunit ribosomal RNA", at positions 559 to 793 of the family's 1533-position model. The record is from RNAcentral.
CGUAAAGCGCAUGCAGGCGGCCUGUUAAGUCAGAUGUGAAAGCCCGGGGCUUAACCUCGGAAUUGCAUUUGAAACUGGCAGGCUAGAGUCUUGUAGAGGGGGGUAGGAAGUUUCAGGUGUAGCGGUGAAAUGCGUAGAGAUCUGAAGGAAUACCAGUGGCGAAGGCGGCCCCCUGGACAAAGACUGACGCUCAGAUGCGAAAGCGUGGGGAGCAAACAGGAUUAGAUACCCUGGUAG